GAUGAACGCUGGCGGCGUGCCUAACACAUGCAAGUCGAGCGGGAUUUUCCGGAUUGAAGCUUCGGCAGAUUGAAGGAAAUGAGAGCGGCGGACGGGUGAGUAACGCGUAGGCAACCUGCCCUUUGCAGAGGGAUAACCAUUGGAAACGAUGAUUAAAACCUCAUAAUGCCACGAAGUGACAUCGCUUUGUGGCCAAAGAUUUAUCGGCAAAGGAUGGGCCUGCGUCUGAUUAGCUAGUUGGUGGGGUAACGGCUCACCAAGGCGACGAUCAGUAGCCGACCUGAGAGGGUGAUCGGCCACAUUGGAACUGAGACACGGUCCAA
RNAcentral lists this ribosomal RNA (323 nucleotides) under uncultured bacterium. RNAcentral's name for it is "bacterial SSU rRNA". It matches the Rfam family "Bacterial small subunit ribosomal RNA", at positions 28 to 334 of the family's 1533-position model. The record is from RNAcentral.